Cavia aperea (Brazilian guinea pig) is the source of this 134-nucleotide small nucleolar RNA. The record is from Ensembl. Lineage: Eukaryota; Metazoa; Chordata; Mammalia; Rodentia; Caviidae.
GGGGCCCUGAGUUAAGGCCGCAGCUUCUUCGCUGUUGGUUUCAAGCAGGAGCCUAAAGAGACGUCUUUCUAUGGUCUGUUGGCCAUUUCAGAGCUUAGGCAGCGAAAUGGUCAGUUUAUUAGAAAGAAACAGCU